AGAGUUUGAUCCUGGCUCAGAGCGAACGCUGGCGGCAGGCCUAACACAUGCAAGUCGCACGAGAAAGUGGAGCAAUCCAUGAGUAAAGUGGCGUACGGGUGAGUAACACGUGACUAACCUACCUUCGAGUGGGGAAUAACACCGGGAAACCGGUGCUAAGACCGCAUGAGUCCGAUGGCAUAGCGGCGAUCGGGGAAAUGCGCAAGCAGCCACGGGAGGGCCUUGCGGCGGAUUAGGUAGUUGGUGGGGUCGAAGCCUACCAAGCCGACGAUCCGUAGCUGGUCUGAGAGGACGACCAGCCACACCGGGACUGAGACACGGCCCGGACUCCUACGGGAGGCAGCAGUUAGGGAAUUUUCACAAUGGGCGCAAGCCUGAUCCAGCCAUGCCGCGUGGAUGAUGAAGGCCCUAGGGUUGUAAAGUCCUUUCGGCGGGGAAGAUAAUGACGGUACCCGCAGAAGAAGCCCCGGCUAACUUCGUGCCAGCAGCCGCGGUAAUACGAAGGGGGCUAGCGUUGCUCGGAAUCACUGGGCGUAAAGCGCACGUAGGCGGCUUUUUAAGUCAGGGGUGAAAUCCUGGAGCUCAACUCCAGAACUGCCUUUGAUACUGAAGAGCUAGAGUCCGGAAGAGGUGAGUGGAACUGCGAGUGUAGAGGUGAAAUUCGUAGAUAUUCGCAAGAAC
RNAcentral lists this ribosomal RNA (681 nucleotides) under uncultured bacterium. Its description in RNAcentral is "bacterial SSU rRNA". It matches the Rfam family "Bacterial small subunit ribosomal RNA", at positions 8 to 707 of the family's 1533-position model. The record is from RNAcentral.